Molecule: long non-coding RNA, 1108 nt
Filed under: Chinchilla lanigera (long-tailed chinchilla)
Lineage: Eukaryota; Metazoa; Chordata; Mammalia; Rodentia; Chinchillidae
Description: lncRNA (ENSCLAG00000026842.1)
Source: RNAcentral
UCUUUCUCUCCCUCCCUGUUCCUCCCCUUCCUCGUCGCGGUUCUCCUCCCCCAGUUCUCUUCUUCCGCUCCGGCCUCCUCUCUCCCUCGCUUUCUCCUCCCACUCCGACUCUCUCCUGCCCUUCUUUUUCCCGUUCCCCUCUGCUUGCCGGGAUCGGAAUUCUGCCCCGACCUGCUUGUCCCGGGAGCCGCGGCGGCUCCCUGCCGGAGCUUCCAGGACCGCGGGACCUGCGGGGCCAUCUUUAUCUACGAGAGAUAGAAAUCCUCACACAUUUUAUGAAGACGAGCGUGUGUCCUUGAGGCAUGAUGUAAGAGAGUUGGAGGGUGGGGUUGCUGAUGAAUCUCUGAACAAGGUAAUAAGAAAGGCAAGAACCACAUGGGUCGGGUGGCAGCCUAGUCACCUCUUGGUACUGGGUGGAAUGCCUGCUCUAAGUUGCCGGGAGAUCAGCUGGAGAUAAAAUGUCUCUUUCCUUUUAGGUUAUGGCUUUGCUUUCUUGCCUCAGUUACUGUGUUCCUCCUGGAUAUGGACCGACUAGAAGGCAGUUGACUGGUAGUUGAGCUGGCCAUGUAUACAUCAGUUGCCUACAUGGUAGCUCAGGUGACAGGGAGGGGGUACACUUGCAGUGGGGAAGUACCAAGCUGUAUCAUGUAUGGCAAGAGUGUGGUUUGUCUCACAUGGGUUUGUAUGCUCCAAGUUUGGCUCCUAGCGGGGUGAUGCUGAGAAGUAGUUGGACCUUUAAAAUUUUAAGGCAUAGUAGAAGGUGGUUGUUAGGGCUUAUAUCUAAAUGUACCGCCCCCAAAGGCUCAUAGGUGGGGUUUGGAGAAAUGGUUGGAUCAUGCGGGUGUGAUACUUAUCAGGGGAUUAGUCUACUGGUGAGUUCAUAGUGAAAGGUGAUUAGGAAGAUGAAGUCUGGUUGGAGGAUGCAGGUUGCUGGAGCUGUAGCCUGGAAGAAUAUACCAGCCUCACACUUCCCUUGAUCUCUCCGUUUUGCAGCCUUGCCAUGAGCAAGGCUCAUCUUCCAUGCCCCUCUGCCACGCCACCCUGUUUGGAGCCAGCCAACUGUGGGCUGAAACCUCUACAAACUGUGAACCAAAAUAAACCUUUCCUG